Solanum stenotomum is the source of this 462-nucleotide long non-coding RNA. RefSeq lists it as uncharacterized. The record is from RefSeq and is a predicted model, not a curated record. NCBI's taxonomy places the organism in Eukaryota, Viridiplantae, Streptophyta, Magnoliopsida, Solanales, Solanaceae. The transcript is spliced from 2 exons.
GAAAGUAGUCCACUCAAUACAACAAUUGCAAGAGGUAAGCCUCUACAUUUUUCCACCAUAUCCUUAGCUAGACUUUCCAUUGCUGGAACCAUUGCUCGAACAUCAACUAGUUUCCUACAAAAGAGGUCCCAACUUUCUUCUUGGCAUAGGAAACGAAGUUUAUGAACAAAACCUCUGUCGUCUGCUCUUUCAGCGACAUCCUCUUUGCGCGUGGUAAUAAUGAAUCUGCUGCCAUUCUUGCUAUCUGGGAAUGCUCUUUUCAAACUCUCCCAUGCUUCUUUCUGCGAUACAUCAUCAACCACCACAAGGUAUUUGCGUUCUUUUAAUAGAUCACGAAGAUAAAUUUCUAGAUCUCCUUCUGUCAUCCUUUCCAACAAAUCUAGAGUUUCCUUGGUGCGACCUUGGAUGGAUUUUAUGAUAUUCCUAAGAAGAUCCAUUGUGUCGUACUCUUGAGAAACACAU